This 492-nucleotide ribosomal RNA is filed under the name uncultured bacterium. RNAcentral describes it as "partial 16S ribosomal RNA". It matches the Rfam family "Bacterial small subunit ribosomal RNA", at positions 29 to 507 of the family's 1533-position model. The record is from RNAcentral.
AGUGAACGCUGGCGGUAGGCCUAACACAUGCAAGUCGAACGGCAGCACAGUAAGAGCUUGCUCUUACGGGUGGCGAGUGGCGGACGGGUGAGGAAUACAUCGGAAUCUACUUUUUCGUGGGGGAUAACGUAGGGAAACUUACGCUAAUACCGCAUACGACCUACGGGUGAAAGCAGGGGAUCUUCGGACCUUGCGCGAUUGAAUGAGCCGAUGUCGGAUUAGCUAGUUGGCGGGGUAAAGGCCCACCAAGGCGACGAUCCGUAGCUGGUCUGAGAGGAUGAUCAGCCAACACCGAACCGGGACACGGUCCCGACCCCCACGGGAGGCAGCAGUGGGGAAUAUUGGACAAUGGGCGCAAGCCUGAUCCAGCCAUACCGCGUGGGUGAAGAAGGCCUUCGGGUUGUAAAGCCCUUUUGUUGGGAAAGAAAAGCAGCAGGUUAAUACCCCGCUGUUCUGACGGUACCCAAAGAAUAAGCACCGGCUAACUUCGUG